AACCGCCCGGUGCGGACCCGCAUGCCGGGUGGUGUGGCAGGGGCGCAGUUCAUCAGAACUGCCCCCUAUGCCUAU
This 75-nucleotide unclassified non-coding RNA is filed under the name Ectopseudomonas oleovorans. Lineage: Bacteria; Pseudomonadati; Pseudomonadota; Gammaproteobacteria; Pseudomonadales; Pseudomonadaceae. The record is from RNAcentral.